RNAcentral lists this ribosomal RNA (625 nucleotides) under uncultured bacterium. RNAcentral describes it as "bacterial SSU rRNA". It matches the Rfam family "Bacterial small subunit ribosomal RNA", at positions 10 to 672 of the family's 1533-position model. The record is from RNAcentral.
AGUUUGAUCAUGGCUCAGAAUGAAACCUGGCGGUGUGCCUAACACAUGCAAGUCAAACGACAAUUUAUUUGGAGUGGCGGACGGGUGAGUAACACGUAAGAACCUACCUUUAGGAGGGGGAUACCAUCCCGGGAAACUGGUGCUAAUACCCCAUAUGCUGAGAAGUGAAAUGGUAUUUAACCGCCUAGAGAGGGGCUUGCGGCUGAUUAGCUAGUUGGUGGGGUAAUGGCCUCCCAAGGCGACGAUCAGUAGCUGGUUUGAGAGGAUGAUCAGCCACACUGGGACUGAGACACGGCCCAGACUCCUACGGGAGGCAGCAGUGAGGAAUUUUCCGCAAUGGGCGAAAGCCUGACGGAGCAAUACCGCGUGGAGGAAAAAGAAGACCUGUGGGUUGUAAACUCCUUUUCUCAGAGAAGAAUACUGACGGUAUCUGAGGAAUAAGCACCGGCUAACUAUGUGCCAGCAGCCGCGGUAAUACAUGGGGUGCGAGGUUUAUUCGGAAUGAUUGGGCGUAAAGCGUUCGUAGGUGGUUUCACGAAGUCCACUGUCAAAGAUCAGGGCUUAACCUUGGGCAGGCAGUGGAAACUCGGAAACUCGAGUCAGGUGGGGGCUGAAGGAAUCAACA